UUAAAUUGAAGAGUUUGAUCAUGGCUCAGAUUGAACGCUGGCGGCAGGCCUAACACAUGCAAGUCGAACGGUAACAGGAAGAAGCUUGCUUCUUUGCUGACGAGUGGCGGACGGGUGAGUAAUGUCUGGGAAACUGCCUGAUGGAGGGGGAUAACUACUGGAAACGGUAGCUAAUACCGCAUAACGUCGCAAGACCAAAGAGGGGGACCUUCGGGCCUCUUGCCAUCGGAUGUGCCCAGAUGGGAUUAGCUAGUAGGUGGGGU
RNAcentral lists this ribosomal RNA (263 nucleotides) under Escherichia coli. RNAcentral's name for it is "partial 16S ribosomal RNA". It matches the Rfam family "Bacterial small subunit ribosomal RNA", at positions 1 to 258 of the family's 1533-position model. The record is from RNAcentral. Lineage: Bacteria; Pseudomonadati; Pseudomonadota; Gammaproteobacteria; Enterobacterales; Enterobacteriaceae.